Molecule: ribosomal RNA, 33 nt
Filed under: Aureobasidium sp. RBF-4A3
Lineage: Eukaryota; Fungi; Ascomycota; Dothideomycetes; Dothideales; Saccotheciaceae
Also listed under: 1 other name
Description: partial 18S ribosomal RNA
Source: RNAcentral
UUUCCGUAGGGUGAACCUGCGGAAGGAUCAUUA